AACACUUUUGAUGAUCCUUCGGGUGAUUCAUUUGUGACUGAGCGGCGGACGGGUGAGUAACGCGUGAGUAACCUGCCUCAUACAGGGGAAUAACAGUUAGAAAUGACUGCUAAUGCCGCAUAAGCGCACAGGACCGCAUGGUCUGGUGUGAAAAACUCCGGUGGUAUGAGAUGGACUCGCGUCUGAUUAGCUGGUUGGUGAGGUAACGGCCCACCAAGGCGACGAUCAGUAGCCGGCCUGAGAGGGUGAACGGCCACAUUGGGACUGAGACACGGCCCAAACUCCUACGGGAGGCAGCAGUGGGGAAUAUUGCACAAUGGGGGAAACCCUGAUGCAGCGACGCCGCGUGAGUGAAGAAGUAUUUCGGUAUGUAAAGCUCUAUCAGCAGGGAAGAAAAUGACGGUACCUGACUAAGAAGCCCCGGCUAACUACGUGCCAGCAGCCGCGGUAAUACGUAGGGGGCAAGCGUUAUCCGGAUUUACUGGGUGUAAAGGGAGCGUAGACGGCUGUGCAAGUCUGAAGUGAAAGGCAUGGGCUCAACCUGUGGACUGCUUUGGAAACUGUGCAGCUAGAGUGUCGGAGAGGUAAGUGGAAUUCCUAGUGUAGCGGUGAAAUGCGUAGAUAUUAGGAGGAACACCAGUGGCGAAGGCGGCUUACUGGACG
This 663-nucleotide ribosomal RNA is filed under the name uncultured bacterium. Its description in RNAcentral is "bacterial SSU rRNA". It matches the Rfam family "Bacterial small subunit ribosomal RNA", at positions 50 to 735 of the family's 1533-position model. The record is from RNAcentral.